AAUAUUGUCAUAGCCUAACGGCUGAACCAGCAACUGGGAGGAAUGAAAAGCAUAGCUGAUUGCAAAAAGUAGUUACUACUUGGUAGUUUAAAUUUCUAGGUAGAAUUAUGAUGAUGACAUUAUCUAUCUAUUAGUCUUGACCAAAUUACGUGCCAGCAGUCGCGGUAAUACGUAGAAGACAAGUGUUAUUCAUCUUUAUUAGGUUUAAAAAGUACCAAGACGGUUAAUAAAGCCCAAAAGAAAUGAAUACGGGGGACACAUUAACUAGAGUUAUAUGAAAGGAAGCCAUAAGGUACUGUUGAGUGUAGAGAUGAAAUUUAAUGAUACCAGAUGAGUGGCACAGAUUUAUGCGAAGGCAUCUUCUUAUGUAAUAACUGACGUUGUAGGACGAAGGCUUAGGAAAUUAACAGGAUUUGGUACCCCAGUAAUCUAGGCAGAAAAUGAUGAAUGUCAUAGGUAUUAUUGUGUCUAUAAAUGAAAGUGUAAGCAUUCCACCUCAAGAGUAAUUUGGCAACAUUGGAACUGAAAUCAUUAGACCGUUUCUGAAACCAGUAGUGAAGUAUGUUGUUUAAUUAGAUGAUACACAAAAACCUUACCACAAUUUGAAUAUAUAUAAAAUAUAUUUACAAGCGCUGCACGGCUGUCUACAGUUAAUGUCGUGAGACUUUGGUUAGCUCCAUUAAAUUGACGUAAACCCUAAUUUUAUUUAUAAAUAUAAUUAACAUUGCUAUAUUUGAUGUUUUAAGAGGGAACAUGACAAGUCAUCAUGG
This 770-nucleotide ribosomal RNA is filed under the name Sticta tainorum. Its description in RNAcentral is "SSU rRNA". It matches the Rfam family "Bacterial small subunit ribosomal RNA", at positions 359 to 1198 of the family's 1533-position model. Lineage: Eukaryota; Fungi; Ascomycota; Lecanoromycetes; Peltigerales; Lobariaceae. The record is from RNAcentral.